This 421-nucleotide ribosomal RNA is filed under the name uncultured bacterium. Its description in RNAcentral is "bacterial SSU rRNA". It matches the Rfam family "Bacterial small subunit ribosomal RNA", at positions 355 to 776 of the family's 1533-position model. The record is from RNAcentral.
UGGGGAAUCUUGCGCAAUGGCCUAACGGCUGACGCAGCGACGCCGCGUGUGGGAUGAAGCUCUUCGGAGUGUAAACCACUGUUGCCCGGGACGAAUAGCUCGAUUAAUCGAGCCUGACGGUACCGGGUGAGGAAGCACCGGCUAACUCCGUGCCAGCAGCCGCGGUAAUACGGGGGGUGCGAGCGUUGUCCGGAAUCACUGGGCGUAAAGGGCGCGUAGGUGGUUUGAUAAGGGUGUGGUGAAAGCCCGGAGCUCAACUCCGGGUCUGCCGUGCCGACUGUCAAACUCGAGGACUGUAGAGGCAGACGGAAUUCCGGGUGUAGCGGUGGAAUGCGUAGAGAUCCGGAGGAAGACCGGUGGCGAAGGCGGUCUGCUGGGCAGUUUCUGACACUGAGGCGCGACAGCGUGGGGAGCAAACAGG